GCGCCGGACGGCCGGGAGGUGUCCGUGGCCGCCGCCGUCGAGGCGGCGCGGGCCGGCACGCGGAUGUUCGGGCCGGCGCCGGUGCC
RNAcentral lists this transfer RNA (86 nucleotides) under Streptomyces lucensis JCM 4490. Its description in RNAcentral is "tRNA-Arg". Lineage: Bacteria; Bacillati; Actinomycetota; Actinomycetes; Kitasatosporales; Streptomycetaceae. The record is from RNAcentral.